This 529-nucleotide ribosomal RNA is filed under the name uncultured bacterium. RNAcentral describes it as "partial 16S ribosomal RNA". It matches the Rfam family "Bacterial small subunit ribosomal RNA", at positions 355 to 895 of the family's 1533-position model. The record is from RNAcentral.
UGGGGAAUAUUGCACAAUGGGCGCAAGCCUGAUGCAGCAACGCCGCGUGAGGGACGACGGCCUUCGGGUUGUAAACCUCUUUAGUAGGGAAGAAGCGAAAGUGACGGUACCUGCAGAAAAAGCACCGGCUAACUACGUGCCAGCAGCCGCGGUAAUACGUAGGGUGCGAGCGUUGUCCGGAAUUAUUGGGCGUAAAGAGCUCGUAGGCGGUCUGUCGCGUCUGCUGUGAAAACCCGAGGCUCAACCUCGGGCCUGCAGUGGGUACGGGCAGACUAGAGUGCGGUAGGGGAGAAUGGAAUUCCUGGUGUAGCGGUGGAAUGCGCAGAUAUCAGGAGGAACACCGAUGGCGAAGGCAGUUCUCUGGGCCGUAACUGACGCUGAGGAGCGAAAGCGUGGGGAGCGAACAGGAUUAGAUACCCUGGUAGUCCACGCGUAAACGUUGGGCGCUAGAUGUGGGGCACCAUUCCACGGUUUCCGUGUCGCAGCUAACGCAUUAAGCGCCCCGCCUGGGGAGUACGGCCGCAAGGCU